Molecule: ribosomal RNA, 495 nt
Filed under: uncultured bacterium
Lineage: Bacteria
Description: partial 16S ribosomal RNA
Rfam family: Bacterial small subunit ribosomal RNA
Source: RNAcentral
GACGAACGCUGGCGGCGUGCCUAAUACAUGCAAGUAGAACGCUGAAGGAGGAGCUUGCUUCUCUGGAUGAGUUGCGAACGGGUGAGUAACGCGUAGGUAACCUGCCUGGUAGCGGGGGAUAACUAUUGGAAACGAUAGCUAAUACCGCAUAAGAGUAGAUGUCGCAUGACAUUUGCUUAAAAGGUGCAAUUGCAUCACUACCAGAUGGACCUGCGUUGGAUUGGCUAGUUGGUGAGGUAACGGCUCACCAAGGCAACGAUACAUAGCCGACCUGUGAGGGGGAUCGGCCACACUGGGACUGAGACACGGCCCAGACUCCUACGGGAGGCAGCAGUAGGGAAUCUUCGGCAAUGGACGGAAGUCUGACCGAGCAACGCCGCGUGAGUGAAGAAGGUUUUCGGGUCGUAAAGCUCUGUUGUAAGAGAAGAACGAGUGUGAGAGUGGAAAGUUCACACUGUGACGGUAUCUUACCAGAAAGCGACGGCUAACUACGUG